AGGGGCAUCGGGGCGAGGAGCAAUCCUUGCCGCCGGCGACCGGCGCACUGGUGAGUAACGCGUAUGCGACCUGCCCGUUGCAGGGGGAUAAUCGGGAGAAAUCCCGUCUAAUACCGCGUAACGCCGCGGGGCUGCAUGGCCCUGCGGCCAAAGGGAGCGAUUCCGGCAACGGAUGGGCAUGCGUGACAUUAGCUAGUUGGCGGGGCAACGGCCCACCAAGGCGACGAUGUCUAGGGGUUCUGAGAGGAAGGUCCCCCACACUGGUACUGAGACACGGACCAGACUCCUACGGGAGGCAGCAGUGAGGAAUAUUGGUCAAUGGGCGCGAGCCUGAACCAGCCAAGUCGCGUGAGGGAUGACGGCCCUACGGGUUGUAAACCUCUUUUGUCGGGGAGCAAAUUCCGCCACGUGUGGCGGAGUCGAGAGUACCCGAAGAAAAAGCAUCGGCUAACUCCGUGCCAGCAGCCGCGGUAAUACGGAGGAUGCGAGCGUUAUCCGGAUUUAUUGGGUUUAAAGGGUGCGUAGGCGGGCUGUCAAGUCAGCGGUAAAAUACGGGGGCUCAACCUCCGCCCGCCGUUGAAACUGACGGUCUUGAGUGGGCGAGAAGUAUGCGGAAUGCGUGGUGUAGCGGUGAAAUGCAUAGAUAUCACGCAGAACUCCGAUUGCGAAGGCAGCAUACCGGCGCCCAACUGACGCUGAAGCACGAAAGCGUGGGUAUCGAACAGGAUUAGAUACCCUGGUAGUCCACGCAGUAAACGAUGAAUACUAGC
This 770-nucleotide ribosomal RNA is filed under the name uncultured bacterium. Its description in RNAcentral is "bacterial SSU rRNA". It matches the Rfam family "Bacterial small subunit ribosomal RNA", at positions 65 to 820 of the family's 1533-position model. The record is from RNAcentral.